AUGAGACGCAGGGUGAGAAUUGGAGCUGCUGCUCCAGGAUGGACGACCUGCCCUAGGCAGCCCAGCGCCCUUGAGAAAGCAAUUCGUGGAUUCGUUGACAAACCGGGUGAAAAUGUAAUCGUGCUUGCCCUGGGUACAGGCUUUGAUACACUCGGCGAGGCGUACAAUUUUUACAAUCUCUACUCUUGGGAGAAGGGU
Molecule: ribosomal RNA, 198 nt
Filed under: Triticum aestivum (bread wheat)
Lineage: Eukaryota; Viridiplantae; Streptophyta; Magnoliopsida; Poales; Poaceae
Description: partial small subunit ribosomal RNA
Source: RNAcentral